RNAcentral lists this ribosomal RNA (253 nucleotides) under uncultured bacterium. RNAcentral's name for it is "partial 16S ribosomal RNA". It matches the Rfam family "Bacterial small subunit ribosomal RNA", at positions 524 to 776 of the family's 1533-position model. The record is from RNAcentral.
GACGAAGGGGGCUAGCGUUGUUCGGAAUUACUGGGCGUAAAGCGAGUGUAGGUGGUUGUCAUAGUCAGGCGUGAAAGCCCCGGGCUUAACCUGGGAAUUGCGCUUGAUACUCUGAGACUGGAGUACGGGAGAGGAGAGUGGAAUUCCCAGUGUAGAGGUGAAAUUCGUAGAUAUUGGGAAGAACACCAGUGGCGAAGGCGGCUCUCUGGACCGUAACUGACGCUGAGGCGCGAAAGCGUGGGGAGCAAACAGG